RNAcentral lists this ribosomal RNA (542 nucleotides) under Staphylococcus aureus. RNAcentral describes it as "bacterial SSU rRNA". It matches the Rfam family "Bacterial small subunit ribosomal RNA", at positions 202 to 739 of the family's 1533-position model. Lineage: Bacteria; Bacillati; Bacillota; Bacilli; Caryophanales; Staphylococcaceae. The record is from RNAcentral.
GGUCUUGCUGUCACUUAUAGAUGGAUCCGCGCUGCAUUAGCUAGUUGGUAAGGUAACGGCUUACCAAGGCAACGAUGCAUAGCCGACCUGAGAGGGUGAUCGGCCACACUGGAACUGAGACACGGUCCAGACUCCUACGGGAGGCAGCAGUAGGGAAUCUUCCGCAAUGGGCGAAAGCCUGACGGAGCAACGCCGCGUGAGUGAUGAAGGUCUUCGGAUCGUAAAACUCUGUUAUUAGGGAAGAACAUAUGUGUAAGUAACUGUGCACAUCUUGACGGUACCUAAUCAGAAAGCCACGGCUAACUACGUGCCAGCAGCCGCGGUAAUACGUAGGUGGCAAGCGUUAUCCGGAAUUAUUGGGCGUAAAGCGCGCGUAGGCGGUUUUUUAAGUCUGAUGUGAAAGCCCACGGCUCAACCGUGGAGGGUCAUUGGAAACUGGAAAACUUGAGUGCAGAAGAGGAAAGUGGAAUUCCAUGUGUAGCGGUGAAAUGCGCAGAGAUAUGGAGGAACACCAGUGGCGAAGGCGACUUUCUGGUCUGUAA